CUGGAUGGUAGUGUAUUGGACUACCAUGGCGAUCACGGGUAACGGGGAAUUAGGGUUCGAUUCCGGAGAGGGAGCCUGAGAAACGGCUACCACUUCCAAGGAAGGCAGCAGGCGCGUAAAUUACCCAAUCCUGAUUCAGGGAGGUAGUGACAAGAAAUAUUAACUCGGGACUAAAUAGUUCACGAGCUUGAAAUGAGAACAAUCUAAAAAACUUAACGAGGAACAAUUGGAGGGCAAGUCUGGUGCCAGCAGCCGCGGUAAUUCCAGCUCCAAUAGCGUAUAUUAAAGUUGCUGCAGUUAAAAAGCUCGUAGUUGAAAUUCUGGCUGGCCCUUCGACUCUCUUUGGGUCUUAGGGCUUGGUCAUCCCCCUGUGACCUUUGUACGUCCUUCAAUGGGUCGACAGAUUGAUCAGGGAUUUUACUUUGAAAAAAUUAGAGUGUUUCAGGCAGGCGAUUUGCUGGAAUACAUUAGCAUGGAAUAAUAGAAAACGACUCGUGAAUUUUAUUGGUUGAAUGAGCGUAGUAAUGAUUAACAGGGACAGUUGGGGGCAUUAGUACUUAAUUGUCAGAGGUGAAAUUCAUUGAUUAAUUAAAGACUAACUUAUGCGAAAGCAUUUGCCAAGGAUGUUUUCAUUAAUCAAGAACGAAAGUUAGGGGAUCAAAGACGAUCAGAUACCGUC
RNAcentral lists this ribosomal RNA (679 nucleotides) under uncultured ciliate. Its description in RNAcentral is "bacterial SSU rRNA". It matches the Rfam family "Eukaryotic small subunit ribosomal RNA", at positions 319 to 1019 of the family's 1831-position model. The record is from RNAcentral. Lineage: Eukaryota; Ciliophora.